This is a non-coding RNA of Astyanax mexicanus (Mexican tetra), 297 nucleotides long. The record is from Rfam. NCBI's taxonomy places the organism in Eukaryota, Metazoa, Chordata, Actinopteri, Characiformes, Acestrorhamphidae.
GCGCCUUCAUUAGGAGGGGCGAGUUGACACAAGGUAAAGACGAGGCGGAGACGCCGUUGUGUGGGUGCGCGGAGAACCCUCAUUAAAUGUCGCUAACGGGCCGUGCACAUGCCCUGAUUGGACAGCUCCCGCGGGAUGCCCACUUAAUGAGACCACACAAUAAGGGAAAGAAACAAAACAUUCACGGUCCAACACGGUGCGCUCUGCUAGAGUGGCUCAACCAUUUGUCAUCGACAAGCAGGAAGUUCUGAAACGGACUGAGAGCGAUAAGGCACGUGUUAAGUGUGUGAAUUUCCU